This is a long non-coding RNA of Seriola aureovittata, 404 nucleotides long. RefSeq lists it as uncharacterized. The transcript has 3 exons. The record is from RefSeq and is a predicted model, not a curated record. Lineage: Eukaryota; Metazoa; Chordata; Actinopteri; Carangiformes; Carangidae.
GUGCGAUUGAGGGAGGGACUAAAAGUGUGCAUAAUAUUCCUUCCUCUCAGUGGGACUCGCUGCGAGCAGGUACAGCAUCUCUGCAGUCCACCGCUCAGCUGUCACACUCAGCUGCCCAGCGCUUCCACUUCACAGGAAACUUCUCACACCGCAGCAGUCGCAGGCCCUGCUUCUCCUGUCCACAGCGUCCGUGAUGAGUUACUACAUGGAUCCAGUUUCUUCCUACCCGGCCCUUCACCCCUGUGACCGUCUGGGCGCAAUGAGGCAGAGUGGAGGGGUGGCAUUGGGCCCUCAGACCCAGCUCCCAGGCGUGGUUCACCCUCAGCAGCAGUACUACCCAUCGCAGCCCCUUUACCCCCAGGAUAUACCCCUGCAGGAGGUACCCAACGGACACGACGUGUGCC